This 253-nucleotide ribosomal RNA is filed under the name uncultured bacterium. RNAcentral describes it as "partial 16S ribosomal RNA". It matches the Rfam family "Bacterial small subunit ribosomal RNA", at positions 524 to 776 of the family's 1533-position model. The record is from RNAcentral.
UAAGAAGGGGGCUAGCGUUAAUCGGAAUUACUGGGCGUAAAGCGCACGCAGGCGGAUUUAUAAGUUAGGGGUGAAAUCCCGGGGCUCAACCUCGGAAUUGCCUUUGAUACUGUCUAUCUUGAGUCCGGGAGAGGUGAGUUGAAUUCCUAGUGUAGAGGUGAAAUUCGUAGAUAUUAGGAAGAACACCAGUGGCGAAGGCGGCUCUCUGGCCCGGUACUGACGCUCAUGUGCGAAAGCGUGGGGAGCAAACAGG